Sycon ciliatum is the source of this 1143-nucleotide long non-coding RNA. RefSeq lists it as uncharacterized. The record is from RefSeq and is a predicted model, not a curated record. The transcript has 3 exons. Lineage: Eukaryota; Metazoa; Porifera; Calcarea; Leucosolenida; Sycettidae.
GGAAUUCAUGGUGGUCACUGUCCUUGUUGCAGCUGUGCAUAGUCGGAAAUGAAUUCACUGCGGUCACUGUCCAUGUUGCAGCUGUGAAUAGUCGGAAAGGAAUUCACGGUGGUCAUUGUCAGUGUUGCAGCUGUGAAUAGCCUGAAACAUGAGAAAUGGUGAACUUUUGGACCAUUUGUGCGCACCAGUUGGCCAAGCUGCAAUGUGGGUGCUGGAAUUGCUUUGACAUUAUUUUGGUUUGCUAGUACGCCGCUUGUACUCGUUGGCAGUGCCCUAGGAGAUUUGACCCAGCUGUUACUGGCUUGAGUUCCAAGUCCGGAAACACGGGCAAAAAGCCCCAAACUUGAAGAUGGUUAUUUUCAGCUUUCAGCAGCCCAGGCAAGUCGUUUAUGGCAAUGUGUGUCAUUCCUGUUGUUCACUUCUCUUUAGUUGGAAGGUUGAGAAAUUGUGAAUGUACUGUCGUGGACGUGGAAAUCCGGUCGCACGUCUAGCGGCCCCAGGGCGCUAGCCAUGCAGCCGAGGAUAAGCGGAAUGCUGAAUGUAUAUGCACUGCAGCGCGCUGGUCGCAUCGGAUCAACAUGACUGCACGCAGCGUUCUGUACGCGCUGAGGGCGGCGGUCCCGGUCAAUCGACUGGAUUUCUAUGUCCGCUACAGUACCUGUGUGUAAAUGGGCCCAGUUGCAAUGUGGGUGCUGGAAUUGCUUUGAUUUUUUGAUUUGCUGGUAGGGCCGGAAAGAAAGAAUUUGGUACAGCACUCACACUUUUCCCUUAACAUACCAACACUCAAAUACCCACCCACACACAUGUACCUCACCUGCAUUUCCCCAAUCUACACUUACUUCAACACUACUCGCUGCUCACGUAAUAGCGCAUCCAAUAGUGCUAGCUUUAGAUUAUCAGUGUUGGUUGUAUCAGUUUUACUUCGAAGUAGAUCUAAACUUUAUGGUACCAUAAUCAAUAUCUUUCCUUCGUCGUCCAACUCUCGGUGUGAUGAAGAUUUCGUUCAAAUCAUAUUGUCCUGUUGUUCUCAAGUAUGAGUGCGAACACUUUACUUUCAUCGAUAUGAAGAUUCUUGCCUGCCGACUUUUUGAUCAUUUUUUAGCUCAUCCUACCUCUGAACUUCCCACCUGAAAUGUUUGGUCA